Molecule: small nuclear RNA, 160 nt
Filed under: Solanum tuberosum (potato)
Lineage: Eukaryota; Viridiplantae; Streptophyta; Magnoliopsida; Solanales; Solanaceae
Description: snRNA U2
Rfam family: U2 spliceosomal RNA
About the family: U2 is a small nuclear RNA (snRNA) component of the spliceosome (involved in pre-mRNA splicing). Complementary binding between U2 snRNA (in an area lying towards the 5' end but 3' to hairpin I) and the branchpoint sequence (BPS) of the intron results the bulging out of an unpaired adenosine, on the BPS, which initiates a nucleophilic attack at the intronic 5' splice site, thus starting the first of two transesterification reactions that mediate splicing.
Source: Rfam by way of RNAcentral
AUAACUUUAAAUAAAAUGUACAAUAUUUGAUAUGUGAGUCAUGACUCACGCAAUAUUAAUUAUAAUUUUUGAUGGGGGAGGUCCAUCUCGUUAGCUUGCUAUUGGGGACUUCAAGCAUCGGCUUGGUGUUGCACUACUGCCUUGGCUUGGCACACCCUAA